GACGAACGCUGGCGGCGUGCUUAACACAUGCAAGUCGAACGGAAAGGCCCUGCUUUUGUGGGGUGCUCGAGUGGCGAACGGGUGAGUAACACGUGAGUAACCUGCCCUUGACUUUGGGAUAACUUCAGGAAACUGGGGCUAAUACCGGAUAGGAGCUCCUGCUGCAUGGUGGGGGUUGGAAAGUUUCGGCGGUUGGGGAUGGACUCGCGGCUUAUCAGCUUGUUGGUGGGGUAGUGGCUUACCAAGGCUUUGACGGGUAGCCGGCCUGAGAGGGUGACCGGCAACAUUGGGACUGCGAUACGGCCGAGACUCCUACAGGAGGCAGCAGUGGGGAAUAUUGCAGAAUGGGCGGAAGCCUGAUGCAGCGACGCCGCGUGCGGGAUGACGGACUUCGGGUUGUAAACCGCUUUGGCAUGUGACGAAGCGUGAGUGACGGUAAUGGGUAAAGAAGCACCGGCUAACUACGUG
This 468-nucleotide ribosomal RNA is filed under the name uncultured bacterium. Its description in RNAcentral is "partial 16S ribosomal RNA". It matches the Rfam family "Bacterial small subunit ribosomal RNA", at positions 28 to 507 of the family's 1533-position model. The record is from RNAcentral.